CCUACGGGUGGCUGCAGUGGGGAAUAUUGGACAAUGGGGGGAACCCUGAUCCAGCCAUGCCGCGUGUGUGAAGAAGGCCCUCGGGUUGUAAAGCACUUUCAGUGAGGAAGAACGCCUGGUGGUUAAUACCCAUCAGGAAAGACAUCACUCACAGAAGAAGCACCGGCUAACUCCGUGCCAGCAGCCGCGGUAAUACGGAGGGUGCGAGCGUUAAUCGGAAUUACUGGGCGUAAAGCGCGCGUAGGUGGCUUGAUAAGCCGGUUGUGAAAGCCCCGGGCUCAACCUGGGAACGGCAUCCGGAACUGUCAAGCUAGAGUGCAGGAGAGGAAGGUAGAAUUCCCGGUGUAGCGGUGAAAUGCGUAGAGAUCGGGAGGAAUUCCAGUGGCGAAGGCGGCCUUCUGGACUGACACUGACACUGAGGUGCGAAAGCGUGGGUAGCAAACAGGAUUAGAUACCCGAGUAGUC
This 465-nucleotide ribosomal RNA is filed under the name Vreelandella stevensii. RNAcentral describes it as "partial 16S ribosomal RNA". It matches the Rfam family "Bacterial small subunit ribosomal RNA", at positions 338 to 795 of the family's 1533-position model. Lineage: Bacteria; Pseudomonadati; Pseudomonadota; Gammaproteobacteria; Oceanospirillales; Halomonadaceae. The record is from RNAcentral.